Molecule: ribosomal RNA, 497 nt
Filed under: uncultured bacterium
Lineage: Bacteria
Description: partial 16S ribosomal RNA
Rfam family: Bacterial small subunit ribosomal RNA
Source: RNAcentral
GAUGAACGCUGGCGGCGUGCCUAAUACAUGCAAGUCGAGCGAACGGACGAGAAGCUUGCUUCUCUGAUGUUAGCGGCGGACGGGUGAGUAACACGUGGAUAACCUACCUAUAAGACUGGGAUAACUUCGGAAAACCGGAGCUAAUACCGGAUAAUAUUUUGAACCGCAUGGUUCAAAAGUGAAAGACGGUCUUGCUGUCACUUAUAGAUGGAUCCGCGCUGCAUUAGCUAGCUGGUAAGGUAACGGCUUACCAAGGCAACGAUGCAUAGCCGACCUGAGAGGGUGAUCGGCCACACUGGAACUGAGACACGGUCCAGACUCCUACGGGAGGCAGCAGUAGGGAAUCUUCCGCAAUGGGCGAAAGCCUGACGGAGCAACGCCGCGUGAGUGAUGAAGGUCUUCGGAUCGUAAAACUCUGUUAUUAGGGAAGAACAUAUGUGUAAGUAACUGUGCACAUCUUGACGGUACCUAAUCAGAAAGCCACGGCUAACUACGUG